GGUAACAUAAGAGCUUGCUCUUGAUGACGACCGGCGGACGGGUGCGUAACGCGUAUGCAACUUACCUUGGACAGGGGGAUAGCCCGUGGAAACAUGGAUUAAUACCCCAUAACAUAUUUUACGGCAUUGUAGAAUAUUGAAAGAUUUAUCGGUUCAAGAUGGGCAUGCGUAUGAUUAGUUAGUUGGUGAGGUAACGGCUCACCAAGACGAUGAUCAUUAGGGGGUCUGAGAGGAUGAUCCCCCACACUGGCACUGAGAUACGGGCCAGACUCCUACGGGAGGCAGCAGUAGGGAAUAUUGGUCAAUGGGGGCAACCCUGAACCAGCCAUGCCGCGUGCAGGAAGACGGCCUUCUGGGUUGUAAACUGCUUUUGACAGGGAAGAAAGUGAACCAUGCGUGGUUUUUUGACGGUACCUGUAGAAUAAGCACCGGCUAACUCCGUGCCAGCAGCCGCGGUAAUACGGAGGGUGCAAGCGUUGUCCGGAUUUAUUGGGUUUAAAGGGUGCGUAGGCGGACCUAUAAGUCAGUGGUGAAAUACUUCGGCUCAACCGGAGAGGUGCCAUUGAUACUGUAGGUCUUGAGUGAACUCGAAGUAGGCGGAAUUGAUGGUGUAGCGGUGAAAUGCAUAGAUAUCAUCAAGAACACCGAUAGCGAAGGCAGCUUACUUGGUUUCAACUGACGCUGAUGCACGAAAGCGUGGGGAGCGAAC
RNAcentral lists this ribosomal RNA (709 nucleotides) under uncultured bacterium. RNAcentral describes it as "bacterial SSU rRNA". It matches the Rfam family "Bacterial small subunit ribosomal RNA", at positions 66 to 773 of the family's 1533-position model. The record is from RNAcentral.